GAUGUCCAAUCAGGAUAGUGCGUUUGAAUUGUAGAAAAGUCAGUGAAAAGAAUUCAUGAUUUUCGCAACGCACCAAAUUGCUGCUCUAAGUUGGGAAUGAAGUUGGGUUAGGAAACCUAUUUUCUUUUAGCAAUUAAGAUCACUAAAAUGAACGGUGUUUCUUGUUCGCUGAAAAGACGGCAAAUCCAACCCUCCCCCAACGUCAACACUAAAAGAAAAUAGUUCCGAUCAAGAUGCCGAUCGCGAACAGCCGGGAACUUCCCUGCCGGAGAUGCGGUAAACCGG
This is a long non-coding RNA of Culex quinquefasciatus (southern house mosquito), 285 nucleotides long. RefSeq lists it as uncharacterized. NCBI's taxonomy places the organism in Eukaryota, Metazoa, Arthropoda, Insecta, Diptera, Culicidae. The record is from RefSeq and is a predicted model, not a curated record. The transcript is spliced from 3 exons.